This 477-nucleotide ribosomal RNA is filed under the name uncultured organism. Its description in RNAcentral is "partial 16S ribosomal RNA". It matches the Rfam family "Bacterial small subunit ribosomal RNA", at positions 333 to 801 of the family's 1533-position model. The record is from RNAcentral.
ACACUCCUACGGGAGGCAGCAGUGGGGAAUAUUGCACAAUGGGCGCAAGCCUGAUGCAGCCAUGCCGCGUGUAUGAAGAAGGCCUUCGGGUUGUAAAGUACUUUCAGCGGGGAGGAAGGCGAUAAGGUUAAUAACCUUGUUGAUUGACGUUACCCGCAGAAGAAGCACCGGCUAACUCCGUGCCAGCAGCCGCGGUAAUACGGAGGGUGCAAGCGUUAAUCGGAAUUACUGGGCGUAAAGCGCACGCAGGCGGUCUGUCAAGUCGGAUGUGAAAUCCCCGGGCUCAACCUGGGAACUGCAUUCGAAACUGGCAGGCUAGAGUCUUGUAGAGGGGGGUAGAAUUCCAGGUGUAGCGGUGAAAUGCGUAGAGAUCUGGAGGAAUACCGGUGGCGAAGGCGGCCCCCUGGACAAAGACUGACGCUCAGGUGCGAAAGCGUGGGGAGCAAACAGGAUUAGAUACCCUAGUAGUCCCAUGAU